AUGGCAACCUGGGGCUCGGCGCGGAAGCGGCUGCUCAAAGAGGAAGACAUGACCACAGUGGAAUUCGAGACCAGCGAGGAGGUGGAUGUGACCCCCACGUUCGACUCUAUGGGCCUGCGGGAGGACCUGCUGCGCGGCAUCUACGCCUACGGUUUUGAAAACCCUUCAGCGAUCCAACAGCGAGCUACCAAGCAGAUAAUUAAAGGGAGAGACGUCAUCGCACAGUCUCAGUCUGGCACAGGUAAAACAGCCACCUUCAGUAUUUCAGUCCUUCAGUGCUUGGAUAUUCAGGUUCGUGAAACCCAGGCUCUGAUCUUGGCCCCCACGCGAGAGCUGGCUGUGCAGAUCCAGAAGGGCCUGCUUGCUCUCGGCGACUACAUGAACGUCCAGUGCCACGCCUGCAUCGGGGGCACCAAUGUGGGCGAGGACAUCAGGAAGCUGGAUUACGGACAGCACGUCGUCGCAGGCACACCAGGGCGCAUCUUUGAUAUGAUUCAUCGAAGAAGUUUAAGGACACGAGCUAUCAAGAUGUUGGUUUUGGAUGAGGCUGAUGAAAUGUUGAAUAAAGGCUUCAAAGAACAGAUUUAUGACGUGUACAGGUACCUGCCUCCGGCCACACAGGUGGUCCUUAUCAGUGCCACGCUGCCCCAUGAAAUCCUGGAAAUGACCAACAAGUUCAUGACAGACCCAAUCCGCAUCCUGCUAAAACGUGAUGAGUUGACUCUGGAAGGCAUCAAACAGUUUUUUGUGGCAGUGGAAAGAGAAGAGUGGAAGUUUGACACCCUGUGUGAUCUCUACGACACACUGACCAUCACACAAGCGGUCAUCUUCUGUAACACCAAGAGGAAGGUUGACUGGCUGACAGAGAAGAUGAGAGAAGCCAAUUUCACCGUGUCCUCGAUGCACGGAGACAUGCCGCAGAAGGAGCGCGAGUCCAUCAUGAAGGAGUUCCGGGCCGGCGCCAGCCGAGUGCUCAUCUCCACAGACGUCUGGGCCAGGGGCUUGGAUGUCCCGCAGGUGUCCCUCAUCAUUAACUACGACCUGCCCAAUAACAGAGAGUUGUACAUACACAGAAUUGGGAGAUCAGGUCGAUAUGGUCGAAAGGGUGUGGCCAUUAAUUUUGUAAAGAACGACGACAUCCGCAUCCUCCGAGAUAUUGAACAGUACUACUCCACUCAGAUUGAUGAAAUGCCUGUGAACGUUGCCGAUCUGAUCUGAAGAAACAGUCCCACUGCGCUGUAGAUGGGUUGGAGGUGGUUCACAUAUUUUGUAGUCCUGUUUGGAAACACUUAGGGUCAGCUUCCAUUAAAGGGGUUUAUGUGAAAUCUCUUCUCAUAGUGCCCCCAGGAAAAG
Non-coding RNA from Microcebus murinus (gray mouse lemur), 1353 nucleotides. Lineage: Eukaryota; Metazoa; Chordata; Mammalia; Primates; Cheirogaleidae. The record is from RefSeq and is a predicted model, not a curated record.